RNAcentral lists this ribosomal RNA (429 nucleotides) under Bacteroidota bacterium. RNAcentral describes it as "Bacteroidetes bacterium partial 16S ribosomal RNA". It matches the Rfam family "Bacterial small subunit ribosomal RNA", at positions 355 to 776 of the family's 1533-position model. The record is from RNAcentral. Lineage: Bacteria; Pseudomonadati; Bacteroidota.
UAGGGAAUCUUCGGCAAUGGGGGGAACCCUGACCGAGCAACGCCGCGUGAGUGAAGAAGGUUUUCGGAUCGUAAAGCUCUGUUGUUAAGGAAGAACGAGUGUGAGAAUGGAAAGUUCAUGCUGUGACGGUACUUAACCAGAAAGGGACGGCUAACUACGUGCCAGCAGCCGCGGUAAUACGUAGGUCCCGAGCGUUGUCCGGAUUUAUUGGGCGUAAAGCGAGCGCAGGCGGUUAGAAAAGUCUGAAGUGAAAGGCAGUGGCUCAACCAUUGUAGGCUUUGGAAACUGUUUAACUUGAGUGCAGAAGGAGAGAGUGGAAUUCCAUGUGUAGCGGUGAAAUGCGUAGAUAUAUGGAGGAACACCGGUGGCAAAAGCGGCUCUCUGGUCUGUAACUGACGCUGAGGCUCGAAAGCGUGGGGAGCGAACAGG